UACGUAGGGGGCAAGCGUUGUCCGGAAUCAUUGGGCGUAAAGCGCGCGUAGGCGGCCCGGUAAGUCCGUUGUAAAAGUCAAAGGCUCAACCUUUGAAAGCCGAUGGAUACUGCCGGGCUAGAGUCCGGAAGAGGCGAGUAGAAUUCCUGGUGUAGCGGUGGAAUGCGCAGAUAUCAGGAGGAAUACCCAUAGCGAAGGCAGCUCGCUGGGACGGUACUGACGCUGAGGCGCGAAAGCGUGGGGAGCGAACAGG
RNAcentral lists this ribosomal RNA (253 nucleotides) under uncultured bacterium. Its description in RNAcentral is "partial 16S ribosomal RNA". It matches the Rfam family "Bacterial small subunit ribosomal RNA", at positions 524 to 776 of the family's 1533-position model. The record is from RNAcentral.